RNAcentral lists this microRNA precursor (58 nucleotides) under Podarcis lilfordi (Lilford's wall lizard). The record is from RNAcentral. Lineage: Eukaryota; Metazoa; Chordata; Lepidosauria; Squamata; Lacertidae.
UGUGUGUUUGUGUGUGUGUGUGUGUGUACAUACAUACACACACACACACACACACAUA